UGCUCAGGCGGACUUGUAAGUCAGAGGUGAAACUCCGAGGCUCAACCUCGGAACUGCCUUUGAUACUGCAAGUCUCGAGUACGGGAGAGGGUAAUGGAAUAACAGGUGUAGCAGUGAAAUGCGUAGAUAUCUGUUAGAACACCAAUGGCGAAGGCAGUUGCCUGGCCCGUUACUGACGCUAAAGCACGAAAGUGUGGGUAGCAAACAGGAUUAGAUACCCUGGUAGUCCACACCCUAAACGAUGAGAACUAGUUGUUGGCCCUUUUAAGGGUCAGUGACUUAGCUAACGCAUUAAGUUCUCCACCUGGGAAGUACGAUCGCAAGGUUGAA
RNAcentral lists this ribosomal RNA (330 nucleotides) under uncultured Melioribacter sp. RNAcentral describes it as "bacterial SSU rRNA". It matches the Rfam family "Bacterial small subunit ribosomal RNA", at positions 568 to 898 of the family's 1533-position model. Lineage: Bacteria; Pseudomonadati; Ignavibacteriota; Ignavibacteria; Ignavibacteriales; Melioribacteraceae. The record is from RNAcentral.